UGUUCUUCAUCUGUUAACCAUGGUUACCUGCAAGAAAAUACGUGCAGUCAUCAUAGCUUUGCACAAAAAGGGCUUCACAGGACAUAAAAGUGUAAAGGGAUCUACGACCCAGGCUGUUCACAUUCUGUUGCUGCAGCGGAGGACAUUGUGAUGCAAAGUCAGCCUGCCCAACGCCAGCAAUCAACAACUGAGGAUACAUUCAUCUUACAGUUAACACCAAUACCACCGCAGGAGCAAACUCCUGCUCAGUUUGCUACACCUCCCACUCCACAGACACCUGAUCCAGACACAAGCACAACCCCCCAAACACCACAGGCUCAAGAACAAGUUUUUUAAGCCUGCUGGGCUAGCCAGCAGACCAAUACUUUGGACUGCUUACACCAACAAACACAGGCCAUUGCAAGUGUAGCCCAUCACAUACCACGCCUAUGCAGAACCAGCAGCAGGCAAACGAUGGAGCUAACAAGAGUGGCCAACACAGUGGAAUUCAUGAGGGCAGACAACAAUAGACUGAUCGACAUCUACCAACGAGUGAUGGAUGAUAAUCAUAGGCUCCAUCAAGGCUACUUGCAGCUUUUUUCGGCCAAACAAACAACCCAAGACAACAUGGUCCGAAUGAUGGAGAGUCAAACGUUGGCCACAAGAGACUUAAACUUGACUCUUACAAAUCUAACAAUGCAUUUAACACAUCAAGGGGCCCACACAAGCUGGAGCUGUACAACAACAACACCCAUAGUGACUCCUGUCACGUCACCACCCAGACGUUCUGCCCGAACUCGGAGACACUCCAGUGGAAAGGGGACAUCCACUGAAAAGGGUCACAAGGAUAAAUAAUUUUGUUUUGUUUAUAUAGUUUAUUUGUUAUCAUUUUGUGGAUAAUUGUAAACAUUCACAGUUAUACAUUUUGGAGACAAAAGCACAAGUAAAGCAGUCCUUUAAAAAAAAAAUAUUGUGUGUUUUUGCAAGCUGAACAUAAUAUUAACAGUUAAAUAUUACAAUAUGCACGGUGGUAAUUAUGUGACAAUCAGUAAUUAUGCAGCAGAGGUUCCGUGUUUUUUUAAAAGAACUUGACUGGUUUAUUGGGAAAUUAUGUUUGGUGCUUUUUACUACUGUAGACGUUUCAUCAUUAGGCCUCAUUUGCAUUUGUCAAUGACUGAAACAUAAAUGCUAUGUAACUUUCAUGUUUAACUUUUUUUGGUGAUUUCCAAAUUUAAACAAUUCUGGACAAAUAAGGUGAGUGUAUUUACAAACAUUACAGGUAAUCACAAAUACACCCAAAAUACAUCCCAAACCACCAAUACGUAUGUUGAGGCAAAAAAUACACAUUGU
Pseudophryne corroboree (corroboree frog) is the source of this 1329-nucleotide long non-coding RNA. RefSeq lists it as uncharacterized. The transcript has 3 exons. NCBI's taxonomy places the organism in Eukaryota, Metazoa, Chordata, Amphibia, Anura, Myobatrachidae. The record is from RefSeq and is a predicted model, not a curated record.